Molecule: non-coding RNA, 502 nt
Organism: Coffea arabica (coffee)
Lineage: Eukaryota; Viridiplantae; Streptophyta; Magnoliopsida; Gentianales; Rubiaceae
Source: RefSeq, a predicted model, not a curated record
AGUGAAGAUUUUUAAUAUUUUGAAGUGAGAUGCCGAACGAAGGAUCUCGAGGGCCUUCUAUAAGUUUUCCUUUAGGUUUAGCCCUCCUUAUCAUUUUGUUGAUAUGCAUUAGUGGCUUCUUUUCUUGUUGCUACAACUGGAACAAGAUCCGAAGCCUUCUUCAACCUUCUUCCACCCCCGAUGCCAUCGAAGAGAAUCAUUCAGAUUCCACUCUUCCCCAUUCUCCUAUAAUUAAGACUGCUGAGCAAAAGCAUGAUGAAAGCUUUACGGUGUUGAUGCCUGGAGAUCGAGCUCCAAAAUAUUUGGCAUUUCCAGCUCCGCAUGGAGAACAUCAAGCAAAUAAUUCCGCAAAAUUAUAGUUGCAGUAUGUUGUAGUAAAGCUAAUUGCAGCACUAUUGAUACAGUUUACUCUAGACAGAUAAUUACUGCAGUAUUUUAUUAUCAACUUACUGGUGAGUAUGGUAGAAUUUUGACUGGGAAUAUUGUGUUUUCUUGAGAUUGA